RNAcentral lists this ribosomal RNA (523 nucleotides) under Colletotrichum sp. XN-1-1-1. Its description in RNAcentral is "eukaryotic LSU rRNA". The stretch from base 189 to 342 matches the Rfam family "5.8S ribosomal RNA". Lineage: Eukaryota; Fungi; Ascomycota; Sordariomycetes; Glomerellales; Glomerellaceae. The record is from RNAcentral.
UGCGGAGGGAUCAUUACUGAGUUUACGCUCUACAACCCUUUGUGAACAUACCUACAACUGUUGCUUCGGCGGGUAGGGUCUCCGCGACCCUCCCGGCCUCCCGCCUCCGGGCGGGUCGGCGCCCGCCGGAGGAUAACCAAACUCUGAUUUAACGACGUUUCUUCUGAGUGGUACAAGCAAAUAAUCAAAACUUUUAACAACGGAUCUCUUGGUUCUGGCAUCGAUGAAGAACGCAGCGAAAUGCGAUAAGUAAUGUGAAUUGCAGAAUUCAGUGAAUCAUCGAAUCUUUGAACGCACAUUGCGCCCGCCAGCAUUCUGGCGGGCAUGCCUGUUCGAGCGUCAUUUCAACCCUCAAGCUCUGCUUGGUGUUGGGGCCCUACAGCCGAUGUAGGCCCUCAAAGGUAGUGGCGGACCCUCCCGGAGCCUCCUUUGCGUAGUAACUUUACGUCUCGCACUGGGAUCCGGAGGGACUCUUGCCGUAAAACCCCCCAAUUUUCCAAAGGUUGACCUCGGAUCAGGUAGG